AUGAUGCACAUGUAUCCAUAUGUCACCAUUGUACAUGUGAUCUGUAUCCAUAUGAGGCUGUUGCCUUUUCUUCUUUUCCUUGCUGAUAUGAUGCCUUUCUUUGUAUCUGUGGUCACGAUGACUCCAGUCCAAAGCAGAGCCGAUGGCGAGCCCCACGAUCUCGGACCGGAUCCGACCCUACUUGACAUCCUUGUCAGCAGCAAAGCGACGGACACACAGAAUCGCGCGGCAUGGCACUCGAAAAAGAAAGAAUGUCUUCCUUUAAUCCUGUCAAAAAGAAAGAAUGUUUUUCCGCUGUUCUUUGCCACACCCACACGCGCACGCAUCGCCGCCCCGGCGACGAAAACCACCGCUCCUCCGUCAAUCCACGCCUUUCUCUAG
Molecule: ribosomal RNA, 381 nt
Filed under: Triticum aestivum (bread wheat)
Lineage: Eukaryota; Viridiplantae; Streptophyta; Magnoliopsida; Poales; Poaceae
Description: partial small subunit ribosomal RNA
Source: RNAcentral